AGAAUCAACGCUGGCGGCGUGCCUAACACAUGCAAGUCGCACGAGAAAGGGGAGCAAUCCCUGAGUACAGUGGCGCACGGGUGAGUAACACGUGAAUCAUCUACCUCCGAGUGGGGAAUAACUGAGAGAAAUCUUAGCUAAUACCGCAUAAUACCCACGGGUCAAAGCAGUAAUGCGCUUGGAGAGGAGUUCGCGGCAGAUUAGUUAGUUGGCGGGGUAAUGGCCCACCAAGACGAUGAUCUGUAUCCGGCCUGAGAGGGCGCACGGACACACUGGAACUGAAACACGGUCCAGACUCCUACGGGAGGCAGCAGUGGGGAAUUUUGCGCAAUGGGGGAAACCCUGACGCAGCAACGCCGCGUGGAGGAUGAAGCCCCUUGGGUGUAAACUCCUUUCGAUCGGGAAGAUAAUGACGGUACCGAUAUAAGAAGCCCGGCUAACUUCGCGCCAGCAGCCGC
Molecule: ribosomal RNA, 458 nt
Filed under: uncultured bacterium
Lineage: Bacteria
Description: SSU rRNA
Rfam family: Bacterial small subunit ribosomal RNA
Source: RNAcentral